GAUGAACGCUGGCGGCGUGCUUAACACAUGCAAGUCGAGCGAAGCACUUAUCAUUGACUCUUCGGAAGAUUUGAUAUUUGACUGAGCGGCGGACGGGUGAGUAACGCGUGGGUAACCUGCCUCAUACAGGGGAAUAACAGUUAGAAAUGGCUGCUAAUGCCGCAUAAGCGCACAGGACCGCAUGGUCUGGUGUGAAAAAACUGAGGUGGUAUGAGAUGGACCCGCGUCUGAUUAGGUAGUUGGUGGGGUAACGGCCUACCAAGCCGACGAUCAGUAGCCGGCCUGAGAGGGUGAACGGCCACAUUGGGACUGAGACACGGCCCAGACUCCUACGGGAGGCAGCAGUGGGGAAUAUUGCACAAUGGGGGAAACCCUGAUGCAGCGACGCCGCGUGAAGGAAGAAGUAUUUCGGUAUGUAAACUUCUAUCAGCAGGGAAGAAAAUGACGG
This 448-nucleotide ribosomal RNA is filed under the name uncultured bacterium. RNAcentral describes it as "bacterial SSU rRNA". It matches the Rfam family "Bacterial small subunit ribosomal RNA", at positions 28 to 457 of the family's 1533-position model. The record is from RNAcentral.